This is a long non-coding RNA of Lemur catta (Ring-tailed lemur), 857 nucleotides long. RefSeq lists it as uncharacterized. The transcript is spliced from 2 exons. The record is from RefSeq and is a predicted model, not a curated record. NCBI's taxonomy places the organism in Eukaryota, Metazoa, Chordata, Mammalia, Primates, Lemuridae.
UGGACACAUGAGUCUGCGCGUGCGUGGGAGCCUCGUCCUUUAUCUGUGCGCUGCCUUGUAUACCUGUGGAAACUGUCUUCGGAAAGGACCCGUGGAGAUCGACCCUGGGUAGAGAAGAGGGAACUGAGGCACCGAGCCGUUCUGCCAUAAGGGAACAGAAUUGUCCACAGAUUGAAAGAAUCUAUACUUGUGGAAAUGCACUUAAGGAAUUACACUCAAGGAGAUUAAUCUACACCAGGACUUGAUUUAGUUUUGAGAUUCUGGACUUUGAGGUGAUACUAUAAUAGGAUGAGGCUUUGAGGCCCUUCAAAGGGAAAGAAUGCAUUUUACAUGUGGGAAGGACAUGAACCAUUGGCUGCUGGAGGGCAGAUGGGUAGUAGGUAGCCUUUAAGAUGGCUCCUGGUGAUUCUUGCCUCCUGUUCUUCAUACCCUCCACCCAUUGAGCAUGGACUGGAACCAGUAACUCGAUUCUAAUGAGUAGAAGAUAGCAAUGUAAUAGAGUAUCACUUCCAAAGUUAGGUUACAUAGAAACUGUGACUUCUCUUUUGGGCCCCUUCUCUCACUCUUGCUUACUUGCUCUGAGGGUAUGCAACUGCCAUCUUGUAAACUGCCCUGUAGAGAAGCCUACAUGGCAAAGAACUGAUGUCUGCCCAACAGCCAGCAAGGACCUGAGGCCUGCUGAUGGUCACGUGAACGAGCUUAGAAGUGGAGCCUUCCCCAGUGGAUCCUUGAGAUGACUGAAGCCCUGCCCAACCUUGAUUUUGAUUUUGUUAGGAACUGUGAGCACCUAGCAAAGCCACGGCAGAUUUCUGACACACACAAAUUGUGAUAUAAUUUUUUUUUUUUUUUUUUUUUUU